UUACAGUGAUGACCAUCUUAGGACACCUUUGGAUUAUACAUGAAAAUAAUGUGAAAGUUCUGAGUGAC
Molecule: small nucleolar RNA, 68 nt
Organism: Amblyraja radiata (thorny skate)
Lineage: Eukaryota; Metazoa; Chordata; Chondrichthyes; Rajiformes; Rajidae
Product: small nucleolar RNA SNORD58
Exons: 1
Source: RefSeq, a predicted model, not a curated record